UACGGAGGGGGCUAGCGUUGUUCGGAAUUACUGGGCGUAAAGCGCACGUAGGCGGCUUUGUAAGUUAGAGGUGAAAGCCCGGAGCUCAACUCCGGAACUGCCCUUAAGACUGCAUCGCUUGAAUCAUGGAGAGGUCAGUGGAAUUCCGAGUGUAGAGGUGAAAUUCGUAGAUAUUCGGAAGAACACCAGUGGCGAAGGCGACUGACUGGACAUGUAUUGACGCUGAGGUGCGAAAGCGUGGGGAGCAAACAGG
RNAcentral lists this ribosomal RNA (253 nucleotides) under uncultured bacterium. RNAcentral's name for it is "partial 16S ribosomal RNA". It matches the Rfam family "Bacterial small subunit ribosomal RNA", at positions 524 to 776 of the family's 1533-position model. The record is from RNAcentral.